UACGUAGGGUGCAAGCGUUGUCCGGAAUUAUUGGGCGUAAAGGGCUCGUAGGCGGCCAACUAAGUCAGACGUGAAAUCCCUCGGCUUAACCGGGGAACUGCAUCUGAUACUGGAUGGCUUGAGAUUGGGAGAGGGAUGCGGAAUUCCAGGUGUAGCGGUGAAAUGCGUAGAUAUCUGGAGGAACACCGGUGGCGAAGGCGGCAUCCUGGACCAACACUGACGCUGAGGAGCGAAAGCCAGGGGAGCAAACAGG
Molecule: ribosomal RNA, 253 nt
Filed under: uncultured bacterium
Lineage: Bacteria
Description: partial 16S ribosomal RNA
Rfam family: Bacterial small subunit ribosomal RNA
Source: RNAcentral